GAUGAACGCUGGCGGCGUGCUUAACACAUGCAAGUCGAACGAAGCACUUUAUUUGAUUUCCUUCGGGACUGAUUAUUUUGUGACUGAGUGGCGGACGGGUGAGUAACGCGUGGGUAACCUGCCUUGUACAGGGGGAUAACAGUUGGAAACGGCUGCUAAUACCGCAUAAGCGCACGGCAUCGCAUGAUGCAGUGUGAAAAACUCCGGUGGUAUAAGAUGGACCCGCGUUGGAUUAGCUAGUUGGUGAGGUAACGGCCCACCAAGGCGACGAUCCAUGGCCGACCUGAGAGGGUGACCGGCCACAUUGGGACUGAGACACGGCCCAAACUCCUACGGGAGGCAGCAGUGGGGAAUAUUGCACAAUGGGCGAAAGCCUGAUGCAGCGACGCCGCGUGAGCGAAGAAGUAUUUCGGUAUGUAAAGCUCUAUCAGCAGGGAAGAUAAUGACGGUACCUGACGAAGAAGCACCGGCUAAAUACGUG
Molecule: ribosomal RNA, 481 nt
Filed under: uncultured bacterium
Lineage: Bacteria
Description: partial 16S ribosomal RNA
Rfam family: Bacterial small subunit ribosomal RNA
Source: RNAcentral